AGUUGAUUGGGAAACUCAUCAAUUACUUAUGAAAUACCGAGACAAGCUUAGUCAACCGAUGGCGGGCCCCAAUCGUCCUUUUGGGCGAUGGCAUUUAUGCCCAAGGCGGAUUACAAAGGUCGGCGAGCGCUCAAAUCCUGUCAUUCGGAGUUUCAUCGCAUCCUUUGGUGUGGUCC
This 176-nucleotide small RNA is filed under the name uncultured Muribaculum sp. Its description in RNAcentral is "Bacteroidales-1 6S-Bacteroidales RNA suggested". It matches the Rfam family "Bacteroidales-1 6S-Bacteroidales RNA suggested". Lineage: Bacteria; Pseudomonadati; Bacteroidota; Bacteroidia; Bacteroidales; Muribaculaceae. The record is from RNAcentral.